GCAAGUCGAACGGUAACAAUGCUAGCUUGCUAGCAGUUGACGAGUGGCGGACGGGUGAGUAACGCGUGGGAAUCUGCCUUAUAGUGGGGGAUAACUCCGGGAAACCGGGGCUAAUACCGCAUAAUCUCUAUGGAGCAAAGCGGGGGAUCUUCGGACCUCGCGCUAUAAGAUGAGCCCGCGUUAGAUUAGCUUGUUGGUAGGGUAAUGGCCUACCAAGGCGACGAUCUAUAGCUGGUCUGAGAGGACGAUC
RNAcentral lists this ribosomal RNA (250 nucleotides) under uncultured bacterium. Its description in RNAcentral is "partial 16S ribosomal RNA". It matches the Rfam family "Bacterial small subunit ribosomal RNA", at positions 57 to 305 of the family's 1533-position model. The record is from RNAcentral.